RNAcentral lists this ribosomal RNA (570 nucleotides) under Russula edulis. Its description in RNAcentral is "partial 12S small subunit ribosomal RNA". It matches the Rfam family "Bacterial small subunit ribosomal RNA", at positions 359 to 952 of the family's 1533-position model. The record is from RNAcentral. Lineage: Eukaryota; Fungi; Basidiomycota; Agaricomycetes; Russulales; Russulaceae.
GAAUAUUAGUCAAUGCUCGAAAGAGUGAACUAGCUAACUGAAAUCAAUUAUAAUAAUUGAUAACAUAAGGAAAAAUAAUGAUAUUACCUUAUUAUUAGUGUCGUCCAAAUCUGGUGCCAGAAGACUCGGUAAGGCCAGAGACACAAACGUUAAUCGUCUUAAUCAGGCGUAAAGGGUUUGUAGGCAGCUUUUAAAAAACUUAAAAAGUUAAAAAAAAGAAUUUAACUUUAAUAAAAUAAGUUAAGAAUAAAAGCUAGAAUCAUAUAGAGGAUAUAUCAAAUAAUGCUUAGAGUAGGUCUGAUAUCCUUAGAUACUAAGUAGAAUAUUAAAAGUGAAAGCUUUUUUCCAUUAAAGAUUGACGCUCAGAAACGAAGGUGAGGAUAGGAAAUAGGAUUAGAUACCCAAAAUACCCCUCUCUGUCAACGAUGAAUGGUAGUUAUUAGUAAAAUUAAUUUAUUAAUGGCAAUGUUAACACGAUAACCAUUCCGCCUUGUGAGUACAACUGCAAAGUUGAAAACAAAAAAAUUAGUCGGUUUCGGAGCAAACGAAGUGAAGCAUGUUAUUUAAUUC